GUCAAGAUGGCAGAACAAUGCCACAGGUUUAAACCCUGUUUAUGAGCCUGGCUCUCUUGUUA
Molecule: transfer RNA, 62 nt
Filed under: Eisenia spelaea
Lineage: Eukaryota; Metazoa; Annelida; Clitellata; Crassiclitellata; Lumbricidae
Description: tRNA-Leu
Source: RNAcentral